Molecule: ribosomal RNA, 504 nt
Filed under: uncultured bacterium
Lineage: Bacteria
Description: partial 16S ribosomal RNA
Rfam family: Bacterial small subunit ribosomal RNA
Source: RNAcentral
AUUGAACGCUGGCGGCAGGCCUAACACAUGCAAGUCGAGCGGUAACACAGGGAGCUUGCUCCCGGGUGACGAGCGGCGGACGGGUGAGUAAUGUCUGGGAAACUGCCUGAUGGAGGGGGAUAACUACUGGAAACGGUAGCUAAUACCGCAUAACGUCGCAAGACCAAAGAGGGGGACCUUCGGGCCUCUUGCCCUCCGAUGUGCCCAGAUGGGAUUAGCUAGUAGGUGGGGUAACGGCUCACCUAGGUGACGAUCCCUAGCUGGUCUGAGAGGAUGACCAGCCACACUGGAACUGAGACACGGUCCAGACUCCUACGGGAGGCAGCAGUGGGGAAUAUUGCACAAUGGGCGCAAGCCUGAUGCAGCCAUGCCGCGUGUAUGAAGAAGGCCUUCGGGUUGUAAAGUACUUUCAGCGGGGAGGAAGGCGAUAAGGUUAAUAACCUUGUCGAUUGACGUUACCCGCAGAAGAAGCACCGGCUAACUCCGUGCCAGCCGCCGCCGUAA